UCCCACGGUCCCACCCCUCCCGUCGCCCGCCUCUCACCGCCCCCACCCCUCCACUCCAACGAUUCCGCCCCGACGCCCUCCCUUCCCCGACGCGCCGUCCCUGCCGCCGCCGCCGUCGUCUCUGUCCCGGGGGGGCUUCUGGAUCUGCGGGCUCUGUGUCAGCAGCGCGGUGCGCACCACUCAUCCGACGCAUCCAUCCGAGAGGACCUCCUCUCUGCGACGGGGGUCGACAACGCCGUGCCCCACUGCCCGUCCGCCGCCUCAACGCAGCCGUGCCCCACUGCAGGGCCAUGCAAACCCGCCUGCCGCGCGUCGUCCUCGCCGGCCGAACCGUCCCCGCCGGAUGGAUCCGUGCCCGUCGCGGUGGAUGUCGGUGUUCCCGCCGCGCUCGGUACCACAGUGUCGACUGCUUUGAGAAGCUCGAGCAGAUCGGGGAGGGCACCUAGGGCAAUUGAUCAUGGCGAAGGAGACGGAGAUGAAGGAAAUCGUGGCAGUCAAGAAUAUCCACAUGGACAACAAGCGUGAGGGCGGCUAGAGAGAGACGAGCAGGGGAAGCAAGGCCUGUGUUAAUUGUUUCUGGGAGAUUAAACUCCGGUUGCAGAUUCACUACGUCAGCUAAGAAUUUCAGAAGCUGCAUCACAACCCUAGGAUAAUUAUGGUACUAAAUGGUGGUCAGGACAAUCUGGUUAAGCUAGGCGGAUGGUAAUGUUGGUAUCAAUGUUGGAUCGUCAACAUGGCCUUCCUGGUUUGCCACGUGAGCUGAUUAUAAGGUGGUCCCUCACAAUAAGCCUAAAAAGCAAGACUUCCUUUGUUCUUUGGAAUCUACAAUGUCUGCAUGUUUCUUUAGAAUUGUGUUUUUAGAAUAAUAAAGUUUAGGAGGCCUUUGGUCAAAGCAAACUUAUCUGGGGACAAACUGCAUUCCUGAAAGGCAUUGGAAUUAUAUCACUUUUAUAAUCAGUUUCUAACAAUUGUUUCCAUUACUUUAGCAGAAAAAGCUACUUGUACUCCCAUGGGUAUGUAUCACUAGAAAAUCUAGCUCGUCAUGACUCAUGAACCUUCUCUGUGGUUUUAGCAUUACCACACAGCUUGAGUAGCAGUACCUAGAGUUGGAGUAUAUGCACAAUCCCUGAACUACCACUAUUAGAAGAAAGCUUAUUUCACUAUAUCUAUGAGUAGAUGAAUUAAUGGAGGGUAACUCUAUGAAUCCUAAUUAGCGAGUGGAGGCUAACGACUAAAGGCACACUGAAGAGAACCUAUCGAGUUCGACUACCAGAUGAACGAAGGCGGAUCCUGAAAGAGAUCGCUUCUGUUCUGUCCCAAGAUCAUUUUGUGGGUGCUUCGACUCACAAGGGUUGAAAACUAAGGUGGGAAAGUGCUCAUGGUGAGAGUUUGUGCUGCUACAACGUGAAAGCUUAGUUCGAUGAGCUCCCCACUCCUCACCUGGUUCUAGAGAUUACACCAUUUCCCGCUGGACAUCUUACCGAUAAUGACUACCGUAAGGCGGAGAGGCUUGAGAUGGUGUCGAGGCUGAGUGCUUCCAUUUCAAAACUAGGGAUUGAUUUUCUAUUUCCCUAAUAUUUUCUUUGCGCAAGUUGUAAAUCGUUUACCACUUACCAGUGGGCCUGUAAAUUGAUGCAGUUGGCUAAGAACUACUUGUAUUCCCUGAGUUUUGCUCAGAUUGCCUAUUAAUUUGAGGUAAAAAACGCAUUGUUUCAGAGUCCUUGGCUUAUAACUGUAUACUCAAGGGACUGAUUCUUGGGUUUUAUAGAGUAUAUAAUUAUUAUUGUCUUAUUUCAGUCCUAUUAUUCUGCAGUACACACCAGUGCUGUGAGUAGUGUGAAAUUUGAUUUGGCCAAAAAUUGGCUUGGUUUGCUAAUGAUGGGAUGAGGGAGCUAUGACCAUGCAAGUGGGUGAAGUUGCCCGUAUCCGGGUAGUCUCGUUUGAUAUGUUAAAUUAAUAUUAAUAUUGUUUGUUUUAUUGAUUCAUCAUACAUUUCAUCGCUACUGCAACUUUGAAAUGUGCUAUUUAUGGCACUUCUAUCUCUCAUUGGAAGUAACUUGUCCAAGAACAAAAAUAUAUGAUAUGAUUGUGGACUGUUAGCCUUUGUAAUGCAAUUUCUUUGCCUGAUAAACUGAUAAUGUGCUUCACAGUUGGUAUUCUUUAGUUCAAAAUAAUUUCUGUUAGCUCUAUCCCGGCACGUACCUAAUAUUUGAGUAUUCUUGCUUUAGUACACCCCGGACUAUGCUUAUGGAGCUAGCGGGUUUCCAGACUGAGGAAUUCAACCGGACUCAGUGCUUGCAUUCGAGAUUGAAGUCCUAGCUCAGUGCCCAGUAAUUUGCAGUGCAAUCCUGGAUGGAGCUAUGGAGCAUAGGCCAAUGCCUAAGUAUUGGAAUAAUUCUAUUGUCACCUCAUGCUGCAUACAACAUACUGAUGUUCUUAGUGAAUCCUGUGAAACUUUAACCCUGUGUGGCCGUGAUAUAUCAAGUUCAUGGAGUUUCUUGUGGGGCGACUCUCA
Panicum virgatum (switchgrass) is the source of this 2515-nucleotide long non-coding RNA. RefSeq lists it as uncharacterized. Lineage: Eukaryota; Viridiplantae; Streptophyta; Magnoliopsida; Poales; Poaceae. The transcript is spliced from 6 exons. The record is from RefSeq and is a predicted model, not a curated record.